AAGACUAUAGACCUGCGGAGUACCUGCGGAAGGAUCAUUAUCGUAUUGUAACAAUUGGGGGGGCCACCGUGGGCUGUCGCUGACCCUUUGAAAGGGGGGUCGUGCACGCCCCCAUAGUGUCAUCCUCAUACAAUCCAACUCACCUCUGUGCAUCACCGCGUGGGUUCCUUUCUGGGUCGAGUCAGACUGGCUCAGAAAAAAGGGGCUUGCGUUUUCCAUACAAACACCCUUAUAAAUCCA
RNAcentral lists this unclassified non-coding RNA (240 nucleotides) under soil metagenome. RNAcentral's name for it is "partial contains 5.8S ribosomal RNA, internal transcribed spacer 2, and large subunit ribosomal RNA". The record is from RNAcentral.